This 21-nucleotide non-coding RNA is filed under the name Arabidopsis thaliana (thale cress). The record is from RNAcentral. Lineage: Eukaryota; Viridiplantae; Streptophyta; Magnoliopsida; Brassicales; Brassicaceae.
UCCGUGAGAUGUCUCAAAGAG